Molecule: ribosomal RNA, 253 nt
Filed under: uncultured bacterium
Lineage: Bacteria
Description: partial 16S ribosomal RNA
Rfam family: Bacterial small subunit ribosomal RNA
Source: RNAcentral
GAUGAACCGUGCGAACGUUGUUCGGAAUCACUGGGCUUAAAGGGCGCGUAGGCGGCUGCGUAAGUCUCGGGUGAAAUCUUUCGGCUCAACCGGAAACGUGCCUGGGAUACUGCGCAGCUCGAGGGAGGUAGGGGCGGACGGAACUUCCGGUGGAGCGGUGAAAUGCGUUGAUAUCGGAAGGAACGCCGGUGGCGAAAGCGGUCCGCUGGACCUCUACUGACGCUGAGGCGCGAAAGCCAGGGGAGCAAACGGG